Long non-coding RNA from Pipra filicauda (Wire-tailed manakin), 298 nucleotides. RefSeq lists it as uncharacterized. Lineage: Eukaryota; Metazoa; Chordata; Aves; Passeriformes; Pipridae. The transcript is spliced from 3 exons. The record is from RefSeq and is a predicted model, not a curated record.
GGGACCCCAGAGCUGGAGGCCGCACUGCAGACAGAGAUGUGGAACCUGAAAACAACCACAGAAAAAGAAACACACGUGCUGAUCACCGUAGAUAAUGGACCGAUGCAAAAUAUGUAAUCUAUGUGUGAAUUCACAGAUAUCUGCAUGAACAGUGGUGCAGUUCCAUGCAAGAAGGCCAUUUACUGGUCCUUCCAUGUACCAUUGUCUCCUGGGGCACCUGAAGAGAAACGGACCUAGGAAUUGGCAGUGGCACUAUCAAAGUGAGUAACUGCAGCUUCCUGCUAUGUGCUGUAAGAGG